UGGAUCCAGACUUUGAUCAUGGCUCAGGAUGAACGCUAGCUACAGGCUUAACACAUGCAAGUCGAGGGGCAGCAUGAUUGAAGCUUGCUUCAAUUGAUGGCGACCGGCGCACGGGUGAGUAACACGUAUCCAACCCUCCGUACACUCAGGGAUAGCCUUUCGAAAGAAAGAUUAAUACCUGAUGGUAUCUUAAGCACACAUGUAAUUAAGAUUAAAGAUUUAUCGGUGUACGAUGGGGAUGCGUUCCAUUAGGUAGUAGGCGGGGUAACGGCCCACCUAGCCUACGAUGGAUAGGGGUUCUGAGAGGAAGGUCCCCCACAUUGGAACUGAGACACGGUCCAAACUCCUACGGGAGGCAGCAGUGAGGAAUAUUGGUCAAUGGACGAGAGUCUGAACCAGCCAAGUAGCGUGAAGGAUGAAGGUCCUACGGAUUGUAAACUUCUUUUAUAAGGGAAUAAAACCUCCCACGUGUGGGAGCUUGUGUGUACCUUAUGAAUAAGCAUCGGCUAACUCCGUGCCAGCAGCCGCGGUAAUACGGAGGAUGCGAGCGUUAUCCGGAUUUAUUGGGUUUAAAGGGAGCGCAGACGGGUCGUUAAGUCAGCUGUGAAAGUUUGGGGCUCAACCUUAAAAUUGCAGUUGAUACUGGCGUCCUUGAGUGCGGUUGAGGUGUGCGGAAUUCGUGGUGUAGCGGUGAAAUGCUUAGAUAUCACGAAGAACUCCGAUUGCGAAGGCAGCACACUAAGCCGUAACUGACGUUCAUGCUCGAAAGUGUGGGUAUCAAACAGGAUUAGAUACCCUGGUAGUCCACACGGUAAACGAUGGAUACUCGCUGUUGGCGAUAUACGGUCAGCGGCUUAGCGAAAGCGUUAAGUAUCCCACCUGGGGAGUACGCCGGCAACGGUGCAACUCAAAGGAAUUGACGGA
This 924-nucleotide ribosomal RNA is filed under the name uncultured bacterium. Its description in RNAcentral is "bacterial SSU rRNA". It matches the Rfam family "Bacterial small subunit ribosomal RNA", at positions 1 to 917 of the family's 1533-position model. RNAcentral also lists the same sequence under 1 other name. The record is from RNAcentral.